RNAcentral lists this small RNA (83 nucleotides) under Marmota monax (woodchuck). Lineage: Eukaryota; Metazoa; Chordata; Mammalia; Rodentia; Sciuridae. The record is from RNAcentral.
GCUAGGUGUGGUGGCGCACACCUGUAAUCCCAGUGGCUUGGGAGGCUGAGGCAGGAGAAUGCUGAGUUCAGAGCCAGCCUUAG